GCAUACGUCCUACGGGAGAAAGCAGGGGAUCUUCGGACCUUGCGCUAAUAGAUGAGCCUAAGUCGGAUUAGCUAGUUGGUGGGGUAAAGGCCUACCAAGGCGACGAUCUGUAGCGGGUCUGAGAGGAUGAUCCGCCACACUGGGACUGAGACACGGCCCAGACUCCUACGGGAGGCAGCAGUGGGGAAUAUUGGACAAUGGGGGGAACCCUGAUCCAGCCAUAGCGCGCGUGCGAAGAAGGCCUUAUGGUGUAAA
This 255-nucleotide ribosomal RNA is filed under the name uncultured bacterium. RNAcentral describes it as "partial 16S ribosomal RNA". It matches the Rfam family "Bacterial small subunit ribosomal RNA", at positions 171 to 429 of the family's 1533-position model. The record is from RNAcentral.